RNAcentral lists this transfer RNA (86 nucleotides) under Anseongella ginsenosidimutans. Its description in RNAcentral is "tRNA-Leu". It matches the Rfam family "tRNA". From Rfam's summary of the family: Transfer RNA (tRNA) molecules are approximately 80 nucleotides in length. Their secondary structure includes four short double-helical elements and three loops (D, anti-codon, and T loops). The record is from RNAcentral. Lineage: Bacteria; Pseudomonadati; Bacteroidota; Sphingobacteriia; Sphingobacteriales; Sphingobacteriaceae.
GCCCGGGUGGCGAAAUUGGUAGACGCACCAUCUUGAGGGGGUGGCGCCUUACGGGCGUAGCGGUUCGAAUCCGCUCCCGGGCACCG